Molecule: long non-coding RNA, 1366 nt
Organism: Leopardus geoffroyi (Geoffroy's cat)
Lineage: Eukaryota; Metazoa; Chordata; Mammalia; Carnivora; Felidae
Exons: 2
Source: RefSeq, a predicted model, not a curated record
CCCGGGCCCGGGCUCGGUGGCCCCUGGCCUGCUCCGUCCGCCUGGGAGGGCCGUGUGCGGGCGGCGCGCUGCUCCGGCCCCCGGAGGGGGACAAGCUCACGGAGCAGGCACCCACAGCGCAGGUGACAGACACCCGGCACUGUUCCUCCGGCACCUGGUCCACGCCGUGCCCCCUGCGUCCCUGGGGCCCCACGGCCAUCCUCAGGCAGGGGCCCCUCUCCCCGGGUUCAAGGGCCGGCCGAGUCCCCACGGGACCCUGCCGCAGGAGAGCCCUGCACCUGCCUGCUCGCGGGCCGCAGGGUCGGUGGGCUCCCCGCGGCGGGACGCGCGGGCUGCGCGUGGAGAAGGGGACAUCCCCGCCGAGCCGGCCACCCCGGGGCCCCUGGACUAGGGGGUGCCGUCGGGCGAGCUGCGCUGGCGGGGCACCCGAGGUAGGAGAACGCGGACGAGGCACUUCCUCGGGGGAAGGACGGCAGAGUCCCCGCGGGCUUGCCCACCCGGCCCCGCUGCCCCUGAGCUCCCGGACAGGCCGGCUGUCACUUCCCCCACUUCCCCGAGCGUCUUGCCCUCGGGGCGCACCUCUCCCGACUGCUCCCGCCUCGCGCCCCUCUGGGUGCCCGGCGCUGCCCUGCGCGGGGAGCGGGGCGGAGGGGGGCGCUGUGUGCGCGGAGUUCCUGGAGCGCGGCGGUCGCACGAAUCCUCACGACGGCCGCUUCCCAAGUCUGAGAUGCAAACUUGCACUACUAGUUUUCUUUAAGUCAGUCCACUUUCAUUUUGACCCAAAAUGUACUCAGAGUGAAACUUUAUGCUUCGAUCAAAGGUUUUCAUUGGUAUAAAUGGUUGACAGUGUAGCGUUCAAUCAUUUCGGAGAAUGUGUUUACAUAAUCACGGGUAAGGCUUCUCUGUUUAUUAAGAAAAUUGCCACAGCCCAUUAAGAAGGGAAAUUCAAUUUAAUAUACAUUUCGUCUUCUUUAAUAUUCCGAUAACUUACUAUAGUUUAAAGCUGACAUUAAAAGCUUUAAGUUCCAACGUGUAUAUGCUCAAUCUCACACAUAAAAUAUGUUAGUAGCGAUAUUUUGGAAGCUUACAGGUGAUAAAACAUCUCUAGUUCAAAAAGGAUGGAUCUUUAGGUUUUGUGCCCUAUCAGUGAUUGAAAUCAUUUCAACAAACUGAUUUCUUGUGUCCCUUUUAAACCUCUUCACCUGUCACUUGUACUUGCAUCUAUGUUAAAUAUUUGCACAACAAAAUAACACCAUAACUAUUUUAUUCUCGUUAGGCACUCCGGUGUCAUCAUACCUCAAUGGGACACCAAGGUUUCUCUGUCAAAAAUGUUCCUGCAACGGACUCUGUUUUCCUUCUACGGAUU